This 427-nucleotide ribosomal RNA is filed under the name Rhipicephalus decoloratus. Its description in RNAcentral is "partial 16S ribosomal RNA". The stretch from base 281 to 427 matches the Rfam family "Bacterial large subunit ribosomal RNA", at positions 2473 to 2620 of the family's 2925-position model. The record is from RNAcentral. Lineage: Eukaryota; Metazoa; Arthropoda; Arachnida; Ixodida; Ixodidae.
GGUUUUUUACUAUACAAGGUAUUGAAUAAGGUUUUAAUUGAAUGCUAAAAGAAUGGAAUAUCAAAGAAUAACUUUCUUAAAAUUAAAAAUUGAAAUUUUUUUAAUUUGUGUAAAAACAAUUAUAUAAAUUAAAGACAAGAAGACCCUAAGAAUUUUUAAAAUUUAAAUUAACACAUUUUUGUUUUAAUUAAAUUUUAACUGGGGCGGUUAAAAAAUAUUAAAAACUUUUUAAUUUUGAAAAUGACCCAUUAUUAAUGAAAAUAUGAUAAAAUACUCUAGGGAUAACAGCGUUAUAUUUUUUGAUAGAUCAUAUUGACAAAAAAGUUUGCGACCUCGAUGUUGGAUUAGGAUACUUUUUUAAUGAAGAUAUUAAAAUAAGAAGUUUGUUCAACUUUUAAAUUCCUACAUGAUCUGAUUUUAGACCGAA